GCCUGGUUAGUACUUGGAUGGGAGACCGCCUGGGAAUAACAGGU
Sinocyclocheilus anshuiensis is the source of this 44-nucleotide ribosomal RNA. The record is from Ensembl. NCBI's taxonomy places the organism in Eukaryota, Metazoa, Chordata, Actinopteri, Cypriniformes, Cyprinidae.